AGCAGCCGCGGUAAUUCCAGCUCCAAUAGCGUAUAUUAAAGUUGUUGCAGUUAAAAAGCUCGUAGUUGAAUUUCGGGAUCAAAUUGUUGGUCGUGCUUCGGUACGCACUGGCAUUAUUGGUUCCUACCUUCUGAAGAACCGCGAUGUCAUUAAUUUGGUGUCGUGGGGAAUCAGGACAGUUACUUUGAAAAAUUAGAGUGUUUAAAGCAGGCUUACGCUUGAAUACAUUAGCAUGGAAUAAUGAAAUAGGACGUUUGAUUCUAUUUUGUUGGUUUCUAGGAUCGACGUAAUGAUUAAUAGGGAUAGUUGGGGGCAUUAGUAUUCAAUUGUCAGAGGUGAAAUUCUUGGAUUUAUUGAAGACUAACUACUGCGAAAGCAUUUGCCAAGGAUGUUUUCAUUAAUCAAGAACGAAAGUUAGGGGAUCGAAGACGAUCAGAUACCGUCGUAGUC
RNAcentral lists this ribosomal RNA (450 nucleotides) under uncultured Glomeromycotina. RNAcentral's name for it is "SSU rRNA". It matches the Rfam family "Eukaryotic small subunit ribosomal RNA", at positions 569 to 1025 of the family's 1831-position model. The record is from RNAcentral. Lineage: Eukaryota; Fungi; Glomeromycota.